GACGAACGCUGGCGGCGUGCUUAACACAUGCAAGUCGAACGGAAAGGCCCUGCUUUUGUGUGGUUCUCGAGUGGCGAACGGGUGAGUAACACGUGAGUAACCUUCCCUUUACUUUGUGAUAACUUCAGGAAACUGGUGCUAAUACCGGAUAGGAGCUCCUGCUGCAUGGUGGUGUUUGGAAAGUUUCGGCGGUUGGGGGUGGACUCGCGGCUUAUCAGCUUGUUGGUGGGGUAGUGGCUUACCAAGGCUUUGACGGGUAGCCGGCCUGAGAGGGUGACCGGCCACAUUGGGACUGAGAUACGGACCAGACUCCUACGGGAGGCAGCAGUGGGGAAUAUUGCACAAUGGGCGGAAGCCUGAUGCAGAAACGCCGCGUGCGGGAUGACGGCCUUCGGGGUGUAAACCGCUUUCGCCUGUGACGAAGCGUGAGUGACGGUAAUGGGUAAAGAAGCACCGGCUAACUACGUG
RNAcentral lists this ribosomal RNA (468 nucleotides) under uncultured bacterium. RNAcentral describes it as "partial 16S ribosomal RNA". It matches the Rfam family "Bacterial small subunit ribosomal RNA", at positions 28 to 507 of the family's 1533-position model. The record is from RNAcentral.